AGUGAACGCUGGCGGUAGGCCUAACACAUGCAAGUCGAACGGCAGCACAGUAAGAGCUUGCUCUUACGGGUGGCGAGUGGCGGACGGGUGAGGAAUACAUCGGAAUCUACUUUUUCGUGGGGGAUAACGUAGGGAAACUUACGUUAAUACCGCAUACGACCUACGGGUGAAAGCAGGGGAUCUUCGGCCCUUGCGCGAUGGAAUGACCCGAUGUCGGAUUAGCUAGUUGGCGGGGUAAAGGCCCACCAAGGCGACGAUCCGUAGCUGGUCUGAGAGGAUGAUCAGCCACACUGGAACUGAGACACGGUCCAGACUCCUACGGGAGGCAGCAGUGGGGAAUAUUGGACAAUGGGCGCAAGCCUGAUCCAGCCAUACCGCGUGGGUGAAGAAGGCCUUCGGGUUGUAAAGCCCUUUUGUUGGGAAAGAAAAGCAGCAGGUUAAUACCCCGCUGUUCUGACGGUACCCAAAGAAUAAGCACCGGCUAACUUCGUG
This 492-nucleotide ribosomal RNA is filed under the name uncultured bacterium. RNAcentral describes it as "partial 16S ribosomal RNA". It matches the Rfam family "Bacterial small subunit ribosomal RNA", at positions 29 to 507 of the family's 1533-position model. The record is from RNAcentral.